Molecule: long non-coding RNA, 3042 nt
Filed under: Brassica napus (rape)
Lineage: Eukaryota; Viridiplantae; Streptophyta; Magnoliopsida; Brassicales; Brassicaceae
Description: long non-coding RNA (BNAP_LNC017370)
Source: RNAcentral
GGUUGUUGCAUCUGGUUUGCAGGUUGACCAUUCCAGGGAGAAGAGGCCCCUUGCCCGUAUGAUGGCUGCUGCUCAAACUGUGAAUAACCCGCUUGAGGAGAAAAUCCAUUGGAUUGCUGUAAUCCAACUUCUCCAGCUUGACUAGUAGGUUGCUGGUGCAAUUGAGGAGUCAAGGGGCUACUCUGGGGAGCUGAACUGCCAGUCGGUGCAGUUGCAAUACUUGGACUACUAGUAUUGUCUGAGAACAUAUCAAUAAGGGCAAGUGCAUUUUGAUCUGAUGCAAUCGGACUUGCUGGUUGAGGAGGUCCAACAGGAACAAGGGCAAGAUCAUCGCCACUGAGGAGGUCUAUCUUGGAAUUGGCUGAGCCAUUAGCUACAGGUGGUGCUGGGAGGGCUAACUGAUUUAGAACCCCGUUACCCGAGUUUGAUGUAGCUCUGCAAAAAUUGUUGGACAUCUACAAUCAGAAGCUAUUUACUAAGGACAAAAAGCUUUUACCAAGGUCAUACGUACUCGUUCGCGUGAUUACUGCUGUCCCCAGUAUCAAUAAGAGGACCAUCAACAUCUACAACGGAUUUUCCUGUCUCAGACUUAGGCUUCUCGAUUUGAACAGAAGUUCCAGGUUUUCCAGAAGCGAUUGCUUCAAUACUGGUUAAGACCCGCUGCAAGUCAUCGUUCAACGCCAGACCUUGACAUAACAGAGACUCGUCCCUGGAUAAAAGAACGGGUGAGGUAAAGAAGAUUUACAAAGAAAAUAAUAUGUAACUGGAGAGGAGAAGAAAUCGCUCUUACGAAGUUGAGUUGAUUAGAUGUACCACUCUUUGUUUGUAUGUACGACACUGCUCCACCAGAUCGACCAUCACCUCCUGUUUAAGGUCCUAGAGAAAUCCAAAAAGAGAAGGAUCAGCAUCCUGAGAUACGUGUAAAGCAUAAAAUAUUAAAGUCCACAAUGGCAAUGUCCAAGAAAAAUCCUGAAAAUGUUGCUCUUAUUCUAGUAUAUUUUGCACUAUAGCCAACACUUGCAAACAGGGAUUUAUACUUCUCUGCAGCUAAAUCAUGCUACCUCCUUGUUUCCCGGCUCUAGUGCACUCAGCAUUUCCGCAAGCACAUCCAUGAUACCUUUUGCAUUUUGAAUCUCUGACAAACUGAAAAACAAAAGAAUUUGACAUACAAUACAAUGAACAUUGAGAAACAAUAGAAUAUAUCCUGAGCAACAACGGCAUGCAAUUACGUCCUAAACAAAGAAGCAAACAGGCGCAAAGACAAGACAAGAUUGAAACUCCAUUAAUACACAUGUGUUUUACAAAAACUAAAAAAAAAAGUUAUUUAACUGUAGUUGUUUUUUUUUGUUCAAAUCACGUCUCAACUUUGGUUUACCCUUAUAUCUAGGCUUACACGUACGGUUGUUUUCUGCUAAUACAUUUCCUUGGAACAAAAAGUAGCAAAACAUAUGUUAACAAACUUUAUCAAGUAACUCAAGGACGUCGAAAUUGGCCCAAGAAAAUACUCCUAUUAUAUGUUUCUAUUUAAAAAAAAUCAUCAACUUGAAACAGCAGAGUUGCAAUAGAAGAUAUUUACCUCAGUGUCGGAAAAUCUGGCUCUGCCGAAGGUUCAGGCAAAUCAUUAGCAGGUCCAGCAGCAUUACGAAGAUUUGGAGGGUAAGACGUCAAAGGCUGUGUUUGCGGAGGAGUGAACACAGGUGCUGAUCUCUCAGAUCUCUGAGGGAAAACAGCUCCAGCACGCUGAAAGAGAGAGGAGUCAGCAAUGGUGAUGAGGAAAGAGUAAUGGACAAAUUUCGAUUCACAAAGGAUGUAAAAGGAAUUCAGCAUCCAGAAUCAGAAAAAUAUAUCAAAUAAUUCCAGUAAACCGUACCAACAAUUCCUGGUAUCCUGCAUAGUAUUGUGGAUAUCUUGCCCUGGGGCCACCAAAGGCCUCUUGCCAUGUAUCAAUAAGGACCAGGAUCUUCUCUUUGACAUGGAAGUCCGGCUAUAUGCAUCAGUAGAUACCACCUUGAAUUAGAGAGAGAGAGAGAUAUAUAUAUAGUUGACUUUUUCCGAGAAGACCAAUUUUGAAGAACCUCUUUACCUUUUUCUUAGCUAUCCGAACCAUCUCAUGAAUAACACCCUUCUCAGCGACAUGCAUAUGAACCAUGUCACCACAGUUCUUCACUAUCGUCUCAAGCAGCUAAAACAUAACAAAUGCACGAUGAGUGAAUAUGCACUAUCAUUUCAAAACAAACAGAGAGAUAAAAUGAGGGGAACAUAAUAUUUCAGCAUGUUAGACAACUUGUAAGCCGCAAAAUCAGUCCUGGUGAGGUUUGAUAUGCUUUCUAAAGGACAUCUAUCAAUGAACAAGUAAGCUCUGCUCAUGUCAAACUCGCGCUGAUUAAGAGACGACUGAUCAUGGAUCUUUUAGACCUUUAGAAUGAGGCUAUAUGUGUAACUAAAACAAACAAGCUAUCUAAAUGCAGAGUUGAUAAAGCAAAAAUGGUUAUUUCAUCGGAAAACAAAAAAAGAAAAAGGAGACAGUUAUCUCGGGAGCUCACUCACUGUUAAGGCAAGAAGUUGAGUUUUAGGAUUCCUGCUACCAAUCCGUUUCUUAACGCCUUUCACAACAUCUUUUGCUUGCCUGCAAAACAGCAAAACCAGUUUCAGACAUCAUGUAGGAUCCGUCUGAUCUGAUAAGUAAAAACCAUUUAUGUAACCCGGCUGAAAUCUGCUUGUUCCAAUCACAAGGCAUAUAAAGGGAACAACUUGCCAGAUUUUAUAAUAAAACGAAUACAAGAAAGACUUCCUCCUCAAAACGUUGACUUUACAGAACAAAUACUAACCAAGUCCGAGUUAAAAUUUCAGAACAACAAACACCCUUAAUGCAUAGUAAAAAGAAAGAAUCUGUUUUUCUUGAAGCUUAGUCAAAAGUAAUCCAACUUCUCCAGCUUGACUAGUAGGUUGCUGGUGCAAUUGAGGAGUCAAGGGGCUACUCUGGGGAGCUGAACUGCCAGUCGGUGCAGUUGCAAUACUUGGACUACUAGUAUCGUCUGAGAA